This 247-nucleotide ribosomal RNA is filed under the name uncultured bacterium. Its description in RNAcentral is "partial 16S ribosomal RNA". It matches the Rfam family "Bacterial small subunit ribosomal RNA", at positions 86 to 334 of the family's 1533-position model. The record is from RNAcentral.
AGAUGGCGACCGGCGCACGGGUGAGUAACACGUAUCCAACCUGCCGAUAACUCGGGGAUAGCCUUUCGAAAGAAAGAUUAAUACCCGAUGGCAUAAUUAGACCGCAUGGUCUUAUUAUUAAAGAAUUUCGGUUAUCGAUGGGGAUGCGUUCCAUUAGGCAGUUGGUGAGGUAACGGCUCACCAAACCUUCGAUGGAUAGGGGUUCUGAGAGGAAGGUCCCCCACAUUGGAACUGAGACCCGGUCCAA